GGGGAUGUAGCUCAGUGGUAGAGCGCUCGCUUUGCAUGCGAGAGGUCCCGGGUUCGAUCCCCGGCAUCUCCA
Molecule: non-coding RNA, 72 nt
Organism: Hydatigera taeniaeformis
Lineage: Eukaryota; Metazoa; Platyhelminthes; Cestoda; Cyclophyllidea; Taeniidae
Source: Rfam